This is a long non-coding RNA of Antechinus flavipes (yellow-footed antechinus), 383 nucleotides long. RefSeq lists it as uncharacterized. The record is from RefSeq and is a predicted model, not a curated record. Lineage: Eukaryota; Metazoa; Chordata; Mammalia; Dasyuromorphia; Dasyuridae. The transcript is spliced from 2 exons.
UUCCCACCAAGAGGCUGCCUUAUUUCAGGACGCCUUCCUGCAUUUCCUAGGGUGGUGCACCUUCUGUGAAAGAUUCUGUGACAGAAAGCCUGAAGUCCACAGUCUCCCCUCCGUGUCUCACCCACAGCUCUCUCACAAUCAAAAAAUCAGUCAGUUUUCACUGUCGUCAACCCUUCAAGGAUCCAAAAAAAGAAAACUGCUUUCCUUGAAUUCAUCUACUUGGGAUAUCCUGAAGGUGGCUCAGUGGAUAGCGCUCCAGACUGGCAGUCAGGAAGAUCUGAAGUCCAGCCACAGUCACUUACUAGAUUCUGGGCAAGUCAGUUAACUCUGUUUGCCUCAGUUUCCCCAUCUGUAAAAUGAGCCGGAGAAGAAAUGGAAAACCA